ACGUAGGGUGCGAGCGUUAAUCGGAAUUACUGGGCGUAAAGCGUGCGCAGGCGGUUACAUAAGCCAGAUGUGAAAUCCCCGGGCUUAACCUGGGAACUGCAUUUGGGACUGUGUGGCUUGAGUAUGGCAGAGGGAGGUGGAAUUCCACGUGUAGCAGUGAAAUGCGUAGAGAUGUGGAGGAACACCGAUGGCGAGGGCAGCCUCCUGGGCCAAUACUGACGCUCAUGCACGAAAGCGUGGGGAGCAAACAGGAUUAGAUACCCUGGUAGUCCACGCCCUAAACGAUGUCGACUAGUUGUUGGGGGCUAUAUGCCCUUAGUAACGCAGCUAACGCGUGAAGUCGACCGCCUGGGGAGUACGGCCGCAAGGUUA
Molecule: ribosomal RNA, 372 nt
Filed under: uncultured bacterium
Lineage: Bacteria
Description: bacterial SSU rRNA
Rfam family: Bacterial small subunit ribosomal RNA
Source: RNAcentral